GACUCUUUAAGGAAAUUAAAAAAUACACAAAAUGAUAUUCAAUAUAGCAUCUUUAUUACCACAGAAACUCAUUUAUGUCCUUAAUCAUUGUUUAAUAUAAUAUAUAAGCAUGUUUAACACAAACAUAUCAAGGAUCGGGCUGGAAUCUUUUCCAUUCUAUAGAAAAGCACUAACCAUCCAUUAAAGCAGGUAGCUACUUUCAGAGCAUGAUAUGAGCUGCAAAAAAUUGCCCUGACUUAUGCCGCCCCCAACACAACCACUCACCAUAUCUAAAAUUACACCCUUGAAGACAUUCAUUGUGGUUAUGGUAGCAUCUAACAAAGCUGUUCCUAUUCCAGAUAUUCGGACUGAGAAUUCCACAAUAAAUUUGAGAUACACUCAGUUAAAUAAAAAUGUCUUUACUAAAUCUUUGGCAAACUGAUCAUGUAUACUUUGAAUUCCUCAAAAGUAGAUUUUUAUUUUAUUUUAUUUGAGACUGAGUUUCACUCUUGUUGCCCAGGUUGGAGUGCAAUGGCAAAAUCUCAGCUCACUGCAAUCUCCAUUUCCUGGGUUGAAAGGAAUAAAAAAGAACAAUAGAUAGGCUGGGCGUGGUGGCUCACACCUGUAAUCCCAACACUUUAGGAG
Molecule: long non-coding RNA, 624 nt
Filed under: Homo sapiens (human)
Lineage: Eukaryota; Metazoa; Chordata; Mammalia; Primates; Hominidae
Description: HSALNT0259157
Source: RNAcentral